GCAGAAUAUAGCUCUAAGCUCCGGGGGGUCACCUCACUCUCUGGAGACUCCUCCAGGAGGGGAGGAGAGUGCUAGGGACCCAGGUGACUACACUGCAGGGUGCUACAGGCCACAGCAGAAGUGGUGGGGACACAGAGCUGGGCUUGGUCAGGUGCCCCAGGACCUGAGCAGGACAGGUGCCCCAGGUAGGCUAGACAAGCAGCACUGAGUCUAAGGACAAACAGGGAGGGUGUCCAGGCAGAGGAAACACUGUGAGUCCAGUGUGCAAAAAAGAACUGCACUCAGGUUCAGGAAACGUCAGGGAGUCUAAUAAGUUGGAACACAGAAAGCAAAGGGCAAGCUGUGUCCUGUGAGCCUGAACAUAUGGGCAAGGCCAUAGGUAGUUCUCUGGAAUUUAAAUUUUCCUCUCAGAGCUUGGAGGCAGAGGCAUGGCACAGUCAGAUUCAGGCUACAAGAGACUAUCUAAAAUAAUUAAAUAAAAUUUAAAAUGCAGUGCCCCAGUAGCACUCACACAUAUUAAGUGCCCAAAAGCCACCUGUGGCUGGUGGCUACUGUAUUGGUCAGUACAAAUCUCGAACAUUUCCAUUAUGCCAGAACAUUCUCUUGGACAGCACUGUUCUAUUACAGUUUCCAUGGAAAUAUGAAUGGAUUAGAUAUAGGGAGGGAGUGAAAAGAAGCAAACUACCCAGCCUGGGACCUACACAGAAAGUUGGAUAGAAUCAGAUUGGAGAGUUAUGUCAGGGUAAAGGGGACAGACAGGGUUUGGGAACCAUCAGACCUGAGAGUCAUGGAAGAGGAAGGAUCUGAAGAAGUCAAGAAUCAUGGCCAGUUUUCUGAUAAGGUUGUCUGGAGGAGGCAUUGCCAGGGGCAGCAGUCACUCAGAAAGAGAAAAAGAGAAGCAGCAGCAGGUCUCGGAGAAAAGGUGGAAACUGUCUUUGGUCACCUGAGUAAACCUACAGGAGUCACUCUUGCUAGAAGCAACCUGGGGGCGNNNNNNNNNNNNNNNNNNNNNNNNGGGGGGGGGGGGGGGUGCGCACACAGAUGGAUGUGUGGACAGUGGGCACUGGCAGCAACAGGCUGUCACUUGGAUUGUGGAUGCCACUGGGCACCCAGCUGGGUGACCUGGUGGGCCCCUCAGGAAGGAGGCCUGGGCUGGUCCCCACCUCGUCCCCACCUCAUCCCCAGUGCAUUGGACGGGGCACAAGAAUGUUGUUCUCCAAAGCCACUGGGACACUUCCUGUCAGUCCACGUAAUUGAGUAUUACAGUAUUUAAAUUACAAAUUGAAGAUUAUUUUUACAGGUGUCAUUUUAAAUAUAACACGAAAUUUCUUGACAUUACAUCAGCCCCACCACACAAACAGCUGCUCCAGCCGCCUGCAUGUGUGAGGCACAUGGCUGAAACUGGCAAUGGUGUGUGUGUGUGUGUGUGUGUGUGUGGGUGUGAGUCAUCGAGUGGGCUGUAUGUGAAAUGGGUGUGAGUCCAUAUGACUGUGAUCGAGAUUGUAUCCGCGUGUGUGGUUAUGAACGUGCACAUAUAAAUGUAUAUAGUUUGUGCAUUAUGAACGUGAGUGAUGGUGAACAUGUGGGUCCGUGUUUCCGUGUGAAUGAGGGUGUGGGGUAUGCCUCUGUGUGUGUGUGUGUGAGUGAGAGAGAGAGAGAGAGAGAGAGCACAGGAAGGGGGGGCACACUGCCGGAUGCUCCAGCCCCACAGGUGACAACCCUAAGGGCGGCCAGAGCCUGGCCGAACUCUGUCUCCCUCUAGAGCGACCGCGGCCUCGGGCAGAGGGGCUGUGGAAGCUGCCCACGGCGGUGCUGCAGUGCCCUCCAGUGGACAGAGCCCCCACCCCAACCCCCCGACAGACCCACAGCAGAUGGAACACGGCUUGUGCCCUUGCUGAGCCUGGUCAGCUCACGCCAGGCCCCAGGUCCUCGCCACCCACUCCUGAGUGGGGCAGGAAGAGCCUAUCCUGAGGCCCCCUUAGCUCCCCACGGCAAGGACUCAGUGGGGAUUUAGCCGUAGCUCAAAUUCUCCUUCUGGGGCACUCCAAACUCCCCCUGCUAGAUCUUGCAUGGCCCGAACACAUCCCACUUCUUUUUGCCAUGGAGCAUCCCCCACCUCAAGGAUGCUCUUACCAGGUGGGCCUCUUCCAGCAAGUUUCCCCUGAGCCCCCAGGUGAGCAAGAGAAGCGCCAUCCCCAGGGUCCUUCCUCAAAGCACAAGGACUAUCUCAGGGGCUCCGGUGGCCGUCAGUCCCCUGCAGGAGCCCCAAAGGACAAAGCUGUUCCUGCUCCGCUCACUGGGCACAGCAUGGGCAAGGCAAGAGAAGAGACGCUCUACGAAGUAGAAACUGUUCAUUUGCUCUUUCAAGUAAGGAAAGGCAGGAGUGUGCAGAGAGACAGAACAGGGAGGAGCAGGACCUGUUUUCAUUUCGUCCAGUCGCACUCUGUGUGCCUGUGUACACAGGCAGGGCUGUGCUUGAGCCUUGAGGGUACAACUUAAACAUAGCAGCUGUUCUAGGAAGCUAUUUCCAGGGAGAAAAUGAGGGAAAGCUCAGGGAGAGACUGAAGCCUAACAAAAGAAAAAUUCUCUUAUUAAAAAUGUUAUUCGUGGCACUGGCAAGCCCCCACCAGGCCGCCUGGCUGCAGAAGUGCAGCAAGAAGCACCGUCCAGCCAGCUGUAUGGGGGCCGGCCCUGCCUCCGCCAGGUCCCCCAGACCGGAGGGAGCUGUCAUCGAGAUGCGCCCAGGGAUGGGACAUUACAGAGGAAAGCACAGGCAGCCGACCACAGGGAGCAGGAGAACCAAGGACAGCCAUCCAUGCAUUGACCUCCUUCUCCAAACCGCUAGCUACACUCGCACCAGGACUGAGCUCAGUGCCCCUCUGGACUCACUCCUCACAGGUUAAGGGGCCAGAUCCAAUCUGCAAGUAUCUGUAGCCACCUGAAGCACCUGACCACCUGAACAAACCACCCCAUGAAGGCCCGGUCCAUUCAGGGGCCCAGACUGCUCCCUGCCCUGCCCUCUUCUCCGAGGCUCGGCUGGCACUACUCCAUACCAACAUCCCAAGCUCACUCGAAAGAAGAGAGGGAAGCCAAAAAGCAUCUCUGCCACGUGGAACAGAAAAGAGAGAGGGCGAAGGAGCUGGCUGCCCUCACAAUGUGCCAAAUCCACAACAUGGGACUCAGUGUGUGAGCCAAAGAGCUCCGAAGAAGGCUUCUCUUGGCUGUGUCUAAAGUGGGUGUGGAUGGUCAGCCCUGAGCCAGGUGACCAUCCUCUCCCUGUGGGCCUGAGAGGUCCCUUUUCAGGCAUUGGCCUACCCACAUCUGGCCCCAGCAGCUCAGAGCCAGGGACUCUGCAGCACAAAGCUCCCCUGCUCUCUUAUCCCUCCCAUUACAGGGCAGCAGAGCUAAAGGCAGAGCUGCAGGGUGGGGAGGGAGACUCAGAGGUUCCCAAUGCACAGGAAUGGGUACACAAACAUGAAGAAAGAAUCUGUCAGAACAGGAGCAAUCUGGUGGCUACCACCUGCUUGGAGUUCCAGUCCUCCGCUAUUUUCCAGGUAGCUUCUUCCAAGUCCGUGACCUUUUCUCUAUCACUUCUGAUUCAAAUCCUUUCCACUCCUCUAUGUCGCUGUCCCUUGUCUCCAUCCAUGGAGAAAUGCAAGACAAUCUUUCCAUGCUGAAAAUACAUCAUAGACGGUCCCAAUCUGGGUCUCAACCUUGAUGGUGGCCCACUUGCAAAGCUCUGAUUCCUCACCAGGCCCUUCUCAAUUUGCUUCUCACUGCUUUGAGGAGCUUCAACUUUCAAAGAGUUAUAAAUGUGGCUGAUGGCCUUUCUCCAGCAAUGAUGGCUAUGGGAAAGGAGGCUAGAGCCACAGGGAACCUGAUGGCCUUACUCCAGCAAUGAUGGCUGUGGGAAAUGAGGCUAGAGCCACAGGGAACCGCAUUCACAUCCUAAGAAGACCAAAGUCACCAUCGCCACCACUACCAUCAUCAUCACAUCUAAUGCUUAUCAAAUACUUGCAUAUGCCAAACUCUGUGCUGAGCACCUUAACAGAUUAUCUCAUUUAACUUUUACAAGAAACCUACUAGGGGGUCUGACUGUCUGUCUGAGGAGCAGCAGAUGAGGGGUCAAGGUUGUGCCAUGGCUCCUGGGCACGCAGCCUUGCCCACUCCAAUCUCCAUCCGAAUGUCUCCAUGAGCCUGACCCACAUGUUUCAAACAGUGGGAAGCAACUCAUUAGUGGACUCAUGAAAUAAAUAAAGGGGGUCAAAAUCA
Vulpes vulpes (red fox) is the source of this 4272-nucleotide long non-coding RNA. The record is from Ensembl. NCBI's taxonomy places the organism in Eukaryota, Metazoa, Chordata, Mammalia, Carnivora, Canidae.